GCGGGAAUAGCUCAGUUGGUAGAGCACGACCUUGCCAAGGUCGGGGUCGCGAGUUCGAGUCUCGUU
This 66-nucleotide transfer RNA is filed under the name Escherichia coli 96.0939. RNAcentral's name for it is "partial tRNA-Gly". It matches the Rfam family "tRNA". From Rfam's summary of the family: Transfer RNA (tRNA) molecules are approximately 80 nucleotides in length. RNAcentral also lists the same sequence under 1 other name. The record is from RNAcentral. Lineage: Bacteria; Pseudomonadati; Pseudomonadota; Gammaproteobacteria; Enterobacterales; Enterobacteriaceae.